CGCCGACUGGUAUUUCAGAGCCACCGGGAGCGACCACCUCCCUCACCUCAAGGCCAAGAUGAAGAGAAUGUGUACGUGUGUUCUUCGCGUCCACUUCUUUCUUUGAUUCGCGAUCGAACUGAAUAGUGGCUGCGUUCACAAACAUGAUCAAGGCACGCUCGCAUUUGAUUUCGUCAGGUGACAGGUCGGGCAUCAGGAAGCGCUACUUCCACCACAGCGAGAGGAUGAUCCGCGAGCACCCCGCCUUGCUCGGCCGUGACGAGCUGCCGUCGCUCAACGCGAGGCAGGACAUUCUGGCGGCCGCCGUGCCCGAGCUCGCCGCGGCUGCCGCCGAGGACGCCAUAGCGGAGUGGGGUCGCCCGGCUAGCGACGUCACCCACCUCGUCGUCUGCACCUACUCGGGCGCCCACAUGCCGGGUGCCGACCUCCGCCUCGCCUCCCUCCUUGGCCUCCGGCCCACGGUCUGCCGCACCGUGCUCUACCUCCAGGGCUGCACCGCCGGCAGCGCGGCGCUCCGCGUCGCCAAGGACGUCGCCGAGAACAACCGUGGCGCGCGCGUCCUCGUCGCCUUCGCCGAGCUCACGCUCGUCAUGCUCCGCGCGCCCGACGAGGCCCGCCCCGGCACGCUCGUCAUGCAGUCCAUGUUCGGCGACGGCGCCAGCGCCGCCGUCGUGGGCGCCGAGGCCGAGGAGCCCGUCGAGCGCCCGCUCUUCGAGAUGGUCUCCGCCUACCAGGACGUGAUACCGGAGACAACCGACAGCCGCGCGGCGGGGCAGCUGAACGAGGACGGCUUGGUGUUCCAACCGUCCAGCGGCAUGCCGGCGCUGGUGCGCCAGAAUAUCGAGCGGUGCGUCGCCGACGCGCUGGCGCCGCUCGGCCUCCGCGGCGGCGGCGGUGGGUGGAACGAGCUCUUCUGGGCGGUACAGCCCAGCGGGCGCGCGAUCUUGGACGGCGUCGAGGCGGGGCUGGCUCUGGAGCCGGAGAAGCUGGCGGCGAGCCGCCGCGUGCUGAGGGAGUACGGGUACAUGUCCGGCGCAUCGAUGCUAUUCGUGCUGGACGAGCUCAGGCGGCGCCAUGUUGGCGGUGGAUGGGACAACAUGCCGGCGGGAGGGAUGGGGGUGAUGGUGGGGAUCGGGCCGGGGAUCUCCGUGGAGACCAUGGUGCUGCGCGCGGCGAACAGCAGCCAGAGUAGGAACGGGGUUCUGCGUUCACCAUGGCAGUAGAUUUGAUUCGUGGGUCAUGGCUUCAUACUUUGUCACAUCUUACCCCUUUCCUCACCAUUUCCUCCUCUUUCUCUCCAGCUGCCCGAAAUUUGUGAAAAGGAAUUCCGUAUAAGGGAAUAAAGGGGAAAGGGGAACUCUUACAUCUUAAUAUGUACUCUAGAAUACUCGUGCGUUGUUACGGGUCCUACUGGUUCUCAAGUCAUUCAACUGGUGAAUAAAAUCAUACACAACGGACC
This 1459-nucleotide long non-coding RNA is filed under the name Setaria viridis. Its description in RNAcentral is "long non-coding RNA (SVIR_LNC009645)". The record is from RNAcentral. Lineage: Eukaryota; Viridiplantae; Streptophyta; Magnoliopsida; Poales; Poaceae.